UAUGAUGCCUCAGAAGUCUCAUAUUUCAAAUCUUCUUUGGAUUGCAAAUUGCUUGAGCGUUCGUGGACUAAAUCCUGGGCGAAUACACGGAGUUCCUCGAGCAGGCUUACCAAUGCAGACUAUAGCACUGGUUGGGUCUUUGAUUUGUCUGAAAAGUUAGGGCAGUCAGAAGCGCAGCUGGGAAGAGGGAGUUUCAUGUUGAGUUUAGAAGCACAUGACUGAAAGUCAGAAGACAAACUCACCGAAGCUAUGAGAGACACCUAUGAAACCAUAGAAGCCAUCUGUGGACUCAUGUCUAGGUUAUUCAAGAUAAACUGUUUAAUCAAAUUCAUACCU
RNAcentral lists this long non-coding RNA (336 nucleotides) under Homo sapiens (human). RNAcentral's name for it is "non-protein coding lnc-RILPL2-1:1". The record is from RNAcentral. Lineage: Eukaryota; Metazoa; Chordata; Mammalia; Primates; Hominidae.